RNAcentral lists this ribosomal RNA (253 nucleotides) under uncultured bacterium. RNAcentral describes it as "partial 16S ribosomal RNA". It matches the Rfam family "Bacterial small subunit ribosomal RNA", at positions 524 to 776 of the family's 1533-position model. The record is from RNAcentral.
AACGUAGGACACAGGCGUUAUCCGGAGUUACUGGGCGUAAAGAGCGUGUAGGCGGCCACUUAAGUCCUGCGUGAAAUCUUGCGGCUCAACCGCAAGCGGCCAUUGGAAACUGGGAGGCUUGAGUACAGAAGAGGAGAGUGGAAUUCCACGUGUAGCGGUGAAAUGCGUAGAUAUGUGGAGGAACACCAGUGGCGAAGGCGACUCUCUGGUCUGUAACUGACGCUGAGGCGCGAAAGCGUGGGGAGCAAACAGG